AAAAAGAAGGAAAGCAAAAGACUUUCAACGUUGCAGGUUAUUUUGCAAGUUUUCCUUGUCUACGUGCGCCUCUUGGAGUAACAUUGCUUGAAUUAGAUUUUAAAGCAUCAUUUCCAGAUGUUGUUGAUUCCAGAGACGACUUAUUUUCUGCCAAGUGGGAUGACAAUUGUUCGAAAAUAAUAAAAAUUUGUGAAAAUUCUAAAAUUCCAGACGUAAAAAAAUUCAAUGAUAAGUACGGAAAAUUAAUCAAAGAAGGAACUCACAACAGUUUACUGGCGUUAUUUUUGUUACCGCUGUAUAUAACGGUCAAAAAAUCUUUAAAAAACGGAGAAUCUGAAAACGUGGCAAUAAAGAAAGAUGAUG
Long non-coding RNA from Leptopilina boulardi, 363 nucleotides. RefSeq lists it as uncharacterized. Lineage: Eukaryota; Metazoa; Arthropoda; Insecta; Hymenoptera; Figitidae. The record is from RefSeq and is a predicted model, not a curated record. The transcript has 3 exons.